This 800-nucleotide unclassified non-coding RNA is filed under the name Leishmania donovani. Its description in RNAcentral is "gene:LdHU3.16.1490(CDS-product:60S_ribosomal_prot ein_L39_putative)". The record is from RNAcentral. Lineage: Eukaryota; Euglenozoa; Kinetoplastea; Trypanosomatida; Trypanosomatidae.
AGAGCGAGAGCCGUAUUUACGCUACUGCUGCUGUUGUGCGUGUGUGUCUGCGUAGCGGCCCAUCACUUCAGCAACGCCCCACCAACCCAACCUUCCCGUCCACAGCACCUCCCCCUUCCCUCAUUCCUUCGACUGCGCAAUCAUGGGCCGCUUCAAGCCCCUUGCUGUGAAGAAGAAGUACGCGAAGAAGAUGAACCAGAACAAGCCGGUGCCGUACUGGAUUCGCCUUCGCACGGGCAACCGCAUCAAGUGGAACGAGAAGCGCCGCCACUGGCGCCGCACGAAGCUAAACUACUAAGACCGACUGACGACUCUCUUUUUAUUCCCACUGCCAUCCCGCUCACUUCUACUCACAUGUACGUGCGUGUGUAUAUGCCCCCCCCUCUCUCACUCUGUGCUUUACAUCGUCGCCCCCGACCUCCGUCUGCGCACGCAGGCGGGCGGACUGAAUUGAUGAAGGGAAGCUGCAGAAGAAGGGAGUAGACGCGUAGCACAACCGCCGCGAUUUCGGGGUGGCAGCUGGCACGCGGUUGGUAGAUGGACUCGGUGUGCGUGGUUGCGUCGUUGCACGUGUGCAGUCGUGUGCGUGUCAGCGGAUCGGUGUCUGUUUCGGUGUACCGGUGUGGGAGUUGGUUGCCGCCUUCGCUCUCCCUUUCCUUGCGCGCACUCUUGUCGUUGUUCAUCAGGCACAUAUGAGGCGAGAUCCCAGCCAUCACGCCUUUCAUGGGCAGAGCUAACGCGAGCAGUCACCCGCGUGCGCUCCCUCUUUCUCUCGUUUCUUCGCUUCAUCUUCUUUUCGG